This 402-nucleotide ribosomal RNA is filed under the name uncultured bacterium. RNAcentral's name for it is "bacterial SSU rRNA". It matches the Rfam family "Bacterial small subunit ribosomal RNA", at positions 355 to 774 of the family's 1533-position model. The record is from RNAcentral.
UGGGGAAUCUUGCACAAUGGGGGCAACCCUGAUGCAGCGACGCCGCGUGAGCGAUGAAGCCCUUCGGGGCGUAAAGCUCUUUCGACCGGAACGAUAAUGACGGUACCGGGAGAAGAAGCUGCGGCUAGCUACGUGCCAGCAGCCGCGGUAAUACGUAGGCAGCAAGCGUUGUUCGGAGUUACUGGGCGUAAAGAGUGCGUAGGCGGUUUUCUAAGUUCGGUGUGAAAUCUCCCGGCUUAACUGGGAGGGUGCGCCGAAGACUGGGAAGCUGGAGUGUGGGAAAGGCAGGCGGAAUUCCUGGUGUAGCGGUGAAAUGCGUAGAUAUCAGGAGGAACACCGGCGGUGUAGACGGCUUGCUAGACCAUAACUGACGCUGAGGCACGAAAGCGUGGGUAGCAAACA